Puntigrus tetrazona (Sumatra barb) is the source of this 1216-nucleotide long non-coding RNA. RefSeq lists it as uncharacterized. The record is from RefSeq and is a predicted model, not a curated record. The transcript has 6 exons. Lineage: Eukaryota; Metazoa; Chordata; Actinopteri; Cypriniformes; Cyprinidae.
CCUCUCUGAUUUUCUGAGUUUCCUUUAGAGAAGAGGGUGGUAUGAACACUGACCUUGAUGAUUAAGGAGAGAUGGAGUGGAAUUGUGGAGUGUUUUGCUCUGCUCCAGGCUUUGGAGAUUAAGAGGAUUGAGAUGAGAGCUGAGAUUAACCUCUUCAUUCAUCUGCGACCGAAGCUUUAGCUCAACGAACACAGGACACAUACACAGUUCAUCUGAAACAAAACAAAGACAUUCACUCUUCAUCAGUCCAAGACAGAUGUGGAGGGAUUUGCCACCUAGAGCGAGUGACCUCCCUCACAUUUACAGGAAAGGAAGGAGCGAAAGGAGGAUUACUGAGUAACCUCCCACACUUCAGGCUGUCCGGCAUCCUUCGUCUCUCCGUUCACCAUCCUUCCAUCUGUCCGCUCCAUCCACAUCUCGUAUCUCCAUACUGAUGAAAACCACAGCAAACAUCCACCCCUCUGAAAACAUCAAACAAGAAAAUCGAUCCUUGGAUAUCUGUGGAGGGAUAAUCAAAUCAUCAGAGAGUACAGAUGUUCUCCACAGCUAGCCAGAUGCCUAGAGCACACCAUAGUCAUUUGUGGCUUUGUGCGUUCUCAUGGUGUCAUCAGCCAAUCAACAUUGACAUGCCGUCAUUUCCCUCUGGUUCCAGAACGAUCACUGCAUGACAUUUACGACUCAGGAACACAAGCACUCCGCCUCAUUCGCUUUGCAGAGAGGUGACUCAGUUGUGCCGAUGUGUGAAGAGGAUCUGUAAUUGAUGUUAACCACGCUGGGCGCUCAGCCAGAGCAUUCCACCCAGAUGUCCACAGGUGAUUGGCCAGUGUGACUUGGCAGCUCGGAUCCAACCAAAGGGGAUGCUGUGAGUGACCUUGGCAGAUGGUCAGAGCCCAAGCCGUAUCAGCUGCCUCGAGGCGAUUUUUAACGCAUUUCCCCAUUUAUUCACUCCUUCAUUUUCUGUGUCACUCCCUUCUUUUCUCUGUCAUCUUCCAUCUUUCUGUCCCUCUGUUAGGUGAUUUAUUUAAGGAGAUGAUAUUGCUUCUGACUGUAAUAUCUUCUGAGGGAGAAAGUGUUUCAUUUUUUUUGACACACAUAAGGACUGCUCAUAUAGAAAUGUUAACCCCAGUUUGACCCCUUCAUAAAAUAAAAAAAAAAAAAACCCAACUAAUAAUAAAUUCAGGAAAUGUGUUUUCAUGCAUGUGUGUGCUUGGUACAA